UUGCCUACGGGGCGCAGCAGUGGGGAAUAUUGCACAAUGGGGGAAACCCUGAUGCAGCGACGCCGCGUGAGUGAAGAAGCACCUCGGCGCGUAAAGCUCUGUCAGCAGGAACGAUAAUGACGGUACCUGAAGAAGAAGCCCCGGCUAACUACGUGCCAGCAGCCGCGGUAAUACGUAGGGGGCAAGCGUUAUCCGGAUUUACUGGGUGUAAAGGGGGCGCAGACGGCGAUGCAAGCCAGGAGUGAAAGCCCGGGGCCCAACCCCGGGACUGCUCUUGGAACUGCGUGGCUAGAGUGCCGGAGGGG
RNAcentral lists this ribosomal RNA (305 nucleotides) under uncultured bacterium. Its description in RNAcentral is "bacterial SSU rRNA". It matches the Rfam family "Bacterial small subunit ribosomal RNA", at positions 335 to 657 of the family's 1533-position model. The record is from RNAcentral.